Molecule: ribosomal RNA, 556 nt
Filed under: uncultured bacterium
Lineage: Bacteria
Description: partial 16S ribosomal RNA
Rfam family: Bacterial small subunit ribosomal RNA
Source: RNAcentral
UGGGGAAUUUUGGACAAUGGGGGAAACCCUGAUCCAGCCAUCCCGCGUGUGCGAUGAAGGCCUUCGGGUUGUAAAGCACUUUUGGCAGGAAAGAAACGUCGCGGGUUAAUACCCCGCGAAACUGACGGUACCUGCAGAAUAAGCACCGGCUAACUACGUGCCAGCAGCCGCGGUAAUACGUAGGGUGCAAGCGUUAAUCGGAAUUACUGGGCGUAAAGCGUGCGCAGGCGGUUCGGAAAGAAAGAUGUGAAAUCCCAGAGCUUAACUUUGGAACUGCAUUUUUAACUACCGGGCUAGAGUGUGUCAGAGGGAGGUGGAAUUCCGCGUGUAGCAGUGAAAUGCGUAGAUAUGCGGAGGAACACCGAUGGCGAAGGCAGCCUCCUGGGAUAACACUGACGCUCAUGCACGAAAGCGUGGGGAGCAAACAGGAUUAGAUACCCUGGUAGUCCACGCCCUAAACGAUGUCAACUAGCUGUUGGGGCCUUCGGGCCUUGGUAGCGCAGCUAACGCGUGAAGUUGACCGCCUGGGGGAGUACGGUCGCAAGAUUAAAAACUC